CUAAGCGUACACGGUGGAUGCCCUGGCAGUCAGAGGCGAUGAAGGGCGUACUAAUCUGCGAUAAGCGCCGGUAAGGUGAUAUGAACCGUUAUAACCGGCGAUACCCGAAUGGGGAAACCCAGUGUGAUUCGUCACACUAUCAUUAACUGAAUCCAUAGGUUAAUGAGGCGAACCGGGGGAACUGAAACAUCUAAGUACCCCGAGGAAAAGAAAUCAACCGAGAUUCCCCCAGUAGCGGCGAGCGAACGGGGAGGAGCCCAGAGCCUGAAUCAGCAUGUGUGUUAGUGGAAGCGUCUGGAAAGGCGCGCGAUACAGGGUGACAGCCCCGUACACAAAAGCGCAUGUGCUGUGAGCUCGAUGAGUAGGGCGGGACACGUGGUAUCCUGUCUGAAUAUGGGGGGACCAUCCUCCAAGGCUAAAUACUCCUGACUGACCGAUAGUGAACCAGUACCGUGAGGGAAAGGCGAAAAGAACCCCGGCGAGGGGAGUGAAAAAGAACCUGAAACCGUGU
This 511-nucleotide ribosomal RNA is filed under the name Salmonella enterica subsp. enterica serovar Enteritidis. RNAcentral describes it as "partial 23S ribosomal RNA". It matches the Rfam family "Bacterial large subunit ribosomal RNA", at positions 11 to 561 of the family's 2925-position model. Lineage: Bacteria; Pseudomonadati; Pseudomonadota; Gammaproteobacteria; Enterobacterales; Enterobacteriaceae. The record is from RNAcentral.